This 253-nucleotide ribosomal RNA is filed under the name uncultured bacterium. RNAcentral's name for it is "partial 16S ribosomal RNA". It matches the Rfam family "Bacterial small subunit ribosomal RNA", at positions 524 to 776 of the family's 1533-position model. The record is from RNAcentral.
UACGGAAGGGGCUAGCAUUGUCCGGAAUUACUGGGCGUAAAGAGCGCGUAGGCGGCUUACCAAGUUGGGGGUGAAAUCCCGGAGCUCAACUCCGGAACUGCCUUCAAAACUGGUAGGCAUGAGUCCGGAAGAGGGGCGUGGAAUUCCCAGUGUAGAGGUGAAAUUCGUAGAGAUUGGGAAGAACACCGGUGGCGAAGGCGGCGCCCUGGUCCGGUACUGACGCUGAGGCGCGAAAGAGUGGGGAGCAAACAGG